This is a long non-coding RNA of Eucalyptus grandis, 339 nucleotides long. RefSeq lists it as uncharacterized. The record is from RefSeq and is a predicted model, not a curated record. The transcript is spliced from 3 exons. NCBI's taxonomy places the organism in Eukaryota, Viridiplantae, Streptophyta, Magnoliopsida, Myrtales, Myrtaceae.
GGUUUCCGGACGACGAUUGCAAUUACUUGGGGCAUUUGAGGGAGAUUAGGAAUGUGGGCGGGGGUUCCGCUUUCUAUCAGAAUCCUAAGGCUAGGCUUGAUCUGGUCCCGAAAGAUGUCAAGUGGACCUUCCAUCCUUCUAUUUUGAAGACCAAAAAAAUCUACACUGUUCUUGUCUGGUGCAGGGUCUUAGCUUUUCUUGUUGCUUCUCAGAUUCUUUGGAUCAUCACAUUUUAUUCUACACAGCUUCCAAGUCCCAAUUAUCAGUGCCGUGAGGUAGGGUCUCUCAUUUUUUUUUAUAGAAGUUUGUUCUGGCCAUUCACAAAUAUUUGUCAUCUUU